This 433-nucleotide ribosomal RNA is filed under the name uncultured bacterium. RNAcentral's name for it is "partial 16S ribosomal RNA". It matches the Rfam family "Bacterial small subunit ribosomal RNA", at positions 29 to 507 of the family's 1533-position model. The record is from RNAcentral.
AACGAACGCUGGCGGCAUGCCUAACACAUGCAAGUCGAACGAGACCUUCGGGUCUAGUGGCGCACGGGUGCGUAACGCGUGGGAACCUGCCCUUAGGUUCGGAAUAACUCCCCGAAAGGGGUGCUAAUACCGGAUAAUGUCCUCGGACCAAAGAUUUAUCGACUUUGGAUGGGCCCGCGUUGGAUUAGCUAGUUGGUAGGGUAAAAGCCUACCAAGGCGACGAUCCAUAGCUGGUCUGAGAGGAUGAUCAGCCACACUGGGACUGAGACACGGCCCAGACUCCUACGGGAGGCAGCAGUGGGGAAUAUUGGAAAAUGGGCGAAAGCCUGAUCCAGCAAUGCCGCGAGAGUGAUGAAGGCCUUAGGGUUGUAAAGCUCUUUUAUCCGGGAUGAUAAUGACAGUACCGGGAGAAUAAGCUCCGGCUAACUCCGUG